UCUCUUCCAAAAUAAGGCUGUUCCUCUCCAUUCUCAGUGUAGAUAUUGACAUGCUAUGCAGCAUGCUAUUCUAAUGUAGGCCUCAUGCUGACAGAGGUUGUGCUCUAUAAUUUGAAGUGGUAUAAUAUGUAGUUUCUGCACUUCGACCCAGCUCUUUAUGAAUGAUCAAAACAACUCUGUUAUUUUACAAAUUUCAAUCAGGCCAGAGCUUAAAAGAAUUAGAUCAACAGAAGGGUUUUUAAGCAAUAUUCUUACAUUCUUUCACUGAAUGCAAAGGGUGAAAUCAAAUACGAUCUGAAAUCAAAUCACAGCACAGUUCCAAAAACCUAUGAGCCAUAAUGCAUAAUUAUGUUGCUGCUAACAUUUACAUUUGUAUUUAUUUGGAUAAAAAGUAAAUGUUCUGAACUUUAUGCUCAGCAGGUAGCAAUAAUGGAAUGGAUCAAAAAGGUCACCGAGGAAACUCAUCCAAGCUUGGAGAAAAGACAAUAAAAACAAAGAAGACUUUCGGGACCCGGUGAUCAAUUUGACUCUAAGAGGCAUACAAUGAAGCAAUAAAAUAUUGUAAUAAUAACCAACAGAACUCAAAUACUGUACAGGAAUAUUAUAAAAACAUGACAAUUAUUCUGUCUCAAAUGCUGUUCAAAAUUAUUUUGGAACCAACUGCUAUGAAAUAAAGCCAGCAAAGUCCACGGUUUUUGUUAUCAACAUUACUUCUGUCUCAUCUGGUUUUAAUUUGAGCUUGUUCUCUCUCAUCCAGCCCAUUACUGACAUUAAGCAAUAUUCAAGGGUUCUAGUUAUUUAGACAGCUAAAUCAUAAACAUUCUGUGACUUUGGGCUCACUUUCUCUUAAUUUAAUAUCAUAAACAUGUUAUGAGACUAAAAGGAAGGAAAUCACACAUGCCAGCUUGAAGAUAAGCAGCCAAUAAUAAACAAAUUGUAAGGGAGAGGUCAGAAGACUAUGUAUGACAGAAUGUUUUCAUGUUUUAAAACAAUCUUUAAAAGAUACCAGUUUUCCUUAGUUCUCGAUUAUGAGUAUCAACUUUGGGGGAAAUGUUGGCAUAAGGGAGCAAGACACAGCCUUUAAAAAUGUACCAGGCCUAGCUUGCUUAUAAUUAUUUUCACUUCCUAUGAAUAUUCUUAUAAAAGACCAAAUGUCAAAAUGAGGAUUAAAAGCAUUAAGCCACAUGUCAUAUAUGAAUCACAAAUUGCAAUUUGCCACUGAAAUUGCUAAACAUGUUUUUCUACCACAUCUGUACUGCUGAAAUAAUUUCCUAACAGUUUUAAUCAAGAAACCAUAUAAAAUAGGUUCACGUAAUUUUAAAAAGUAAAUACUGCCUAAUCCUGAUUUAGUUGGACAUAAAUACAUUUUGGCAUUGUUUCUUUUUCAAAAAGAAUAAAUUAAAUAUUGACUAAUCAUCUUAUUGUUUAUCUUAGUUUAUUCCAAAUAAAUCAAGAAUA
Pseudonaja textilis is the source of this 1458-nucleotide non-coding RNA. NCBI's taxonomy places the organism in Eukaryota, Metazoa, Chordata, Lepidosauria, Squamata, Elapidae. The record is from RefSeq and is a predicted model, not a curated record.